UUUUUCUUUUUUUUUGAGACAGAGUUUCACUUUUGCUGCCCAGGUUAGAGUGCAAUGGUGCAAUCUCAGCUCACUGCAACCUCCACCUCCUGGGUUCAAGUGAUUCUCCUGCCUCAGCCUCCCAAGUAACUGGGAUUACAGGCAUGCGCCAUCACGCCUGGCUAAUUUUGUACUUUUUAAAGUAGAGACAGGGUUUCUCCAUGUUGGUCAGGGUGGUCUCGAACUCCUAACCUCAGGUGAUCCACCCACCUUGGCCUCCCAAAGUGCUAGGAUUACAGGCAUGAGCCACCGCACCUGGCCCAAAUAUUACAUUUAAAAGCAAAAAUAAAAACAAACCCACGAGUGCCCAAGCUUCUCUUCUUGCAGUUGCUGCUCACCAUCCUGUGGGCUGGUGCUGUCUGCUUUUGCAACAGUCUCCUCUGACCCCUCUAUCCUUCAAGCUCAGCCUUCUUCAGGAAGCACUCCUGGCUCCUGCAGGCUGUCCCCACAGACCCCUUCCCUUGCCUGUGCCCCUUUGGCACACGGCACUGGCCCUACAAACUAUGCCCUCCUACAUGGUUCCCUGAUGGGCCCUGUCUCCCUGAGAGCAGGAUUCUAGUCCCCCUGUGCUGUUGCUUGGGGAGCCCUGCAGGUCCAGGCUCCAUGCCCAGCCCCACACAGUUCUGGGGACCAGAGGUUGGUUCCCAACCACAUGAAGGAAGGCACACGGAAAAACCAUAAACCCGAAGGCUGAGCGGGAUGUUUGUCAAAGCAGGACAGAUCUGCGGCCAGGGAUGUGGAGGGAGUGCGCUGGCCCUGAGCAGAAGCGAGCAUUUCAGGGAGCUGGGAUGAGCACCGAGGAGCUGGCACGGGCAGGGCACAGCAGGAAGGAGGCCCAUUAACACUUCUGCCCCGACCACACUUCCUCCGGCACCUCGGCCAGGGUGCACACAGGCGCGUUUGUCCCACUUUCACUGCGGCACUGUGUUCGCAGCAGCCCCGGCUCCCCCAGCCCCAGGUGGCUGGGUGUUGCCUGGGCACAAAUGCCCUUUAUGGAUGGGCAGUGCUGGAGGGAGGCAGGUCCUCCUGGGACUGGAACCACCCCACAGAAUUCAGAAUUGACCUUGGAACUGCCUCCCUGCCAACGAUGCAGCCACUCAGGAGGCCUGGUCGCAUGGAGGCCAUGGCAUUGCCCCCAGGGACCCCAAAGCAUGGGGAUAAUCCCAGGAGAAAGCAGCCACCUUUGAAAGGCGAGAGUGCCCCGAGUAAGCCCUCCCUCCAGGGCCCAUCACCCUGCCUGCUGCCACCUCCUGGCACAGGGACUGUGGAUUUUCAUCUCCUUGAGGGGCCUGAGGCGGCAGGCCUGCUUUGGUGAGGCUCGCAAAGGAGAGGGAAAGAAGGAGACCCCAGUGAUGCCUCAUUGCCCUCCUUCCACCAUCCCAGAAGGAGUGGGGCCUCAACCAAGCAUCCAGGGACUACCUUCCCUUCCAUCCCUUCCAUGAAGCCCAGCCCACGUUAGCCUGAGAGUUGAUUCUCAGAAGAGCCUUUGGUGCUCUUUCUUAGGCCAGUGGGUGACAGAAGUCUCACAUGCUACAGACAAACCCUCCAGUCAGGCCCCACUGAACUUCCAUCCCCCAUUCACACUUAGCCUCAAGCCCCUCUCCCCAACCCCAAGGCCUGCCCAGUUUUUUUUUUCAGCUGUCUUUUGCUCAUUUAAUCUAGGGACAGGUGCAGGCACAUGCUGGCUGCCUGUCAGCGCCCCCUAGAGAUGGGCCAAGGACCCGCACCCACCCCCAAGGAGGCCUCAACUGAACGUUUUCUUUGGAGGCUGGGAGGUGAAGGAAGGGAGCCUCGGUUCCCUGCCAGCCACGACGCCAAGCUCACCUCCGUGCAGUUAGCUACUCUCUGUAGAGAUCAUUGUCCUCCUUUGACAUCUGGGGAGACUGAGGCUGGGAGAAGAAAGAGAAGUCAAGCCCUACCUCCUGGGAUUCUCAGUCUAGCUGUGGCGACAUCAGGUGGGAGGGGCUUGUGAGUGGGAACCGAGCAUGUCCUCCCUGGGUGCCCUGCUGUGCCCUGCCUGCAGGGUCACAGGCCCUGUGCUCCUGUGCUCCUGGUGCCCCUUCUCUCUGGCUGGGCUUGGCGUGGGAGGUGGGCCACCUUGAGGAGGGCAGGAGGGGCUGCCAGGCCCUCAGGAAGUCAGAUGAGCUUCCCUAUCUCCUGGAGCUCCCCAGGAAUGGGACACCACCCCGACCACAGCCACCAACGCUUGCUCACUUGGGUUUAUCUCCAACCCUCUGAUCCAACUGGAGGGUGUGACACUGGCCUCAGUCACAAAUCCUUUCACAUCCUGCAGAACCAGAGGCAAAGGUUGGCUGGCCAGGCACAGCCUCUCCGCCAACCCCCGCCGCCCCCGCAACACACACACAGACAGACAGAAACACUUCCUCAUGCCCAGCACCCCCAGCUCCCACACUCACCACACGGAUAUCCCU
Macaca fascicularis (crab-eating macaque) is the source of this 2471-nucleotide long non-coding RNA. NCBI's taxonomy places the organism in Eukaryota, Metazoa, Chordata, Mammalia, Primates, Cercopithecidae. The record is from Ensembl.